UUUAGAGCAUGAUGAACCCAGCCGUUAGCAGGAAGGCGGCACAACAACGUCAGCGGCGCACCUACAGAGUGAGAAGAGAUAUUUUCGCUGAGUACGACGAUGCUGAGUUACUGAAAAGAUUCAGAUUGGACCGUGCUGGUAUUGUUGCAGUGACUGAUAUAGUGAGAGACAAGCUGCAAAGUAAAACUGAAAGAAAUAGAGCCUUGACCCCUGAGAUGGUGGCCAUCACAUUACGAUAUUUAGCCACAGGAAAAAUGCAACAGUGCAGUUGUGAUGAUUUUGGAACAACGCAGCCCACUAUCAGCCGUGCAAUAUCACAGACAAUUGAUGCACUGGCUGACCCAGAAGUAAUCUGCCAGUUCGUGGCUUUCCCUCACACCCAGCGUGAAGUGCAGCAAAAACAGGCAGAGUUCAUGCAAGUAACUCAGUUUCCCGGUGUUGUGGGAGUGAUUGAUGGCACUCAUAUAAGAAUUGUGUCUCCUCAUGUCGAUGAACAUGUAUAUGUGAACAGGAAACGCUAUCACAGCAUAAAUGUGCAAGUAGUAUUUGAUGCUCACUAUAAGAUUCUUGACAUUGUGGCAAGGUGGCCUGGCUCAGUCAACGAUGCAAGAAUACUAGAUAAGUCAGCACUCAAACUGAUGUUUGAGGAACAACAUGUACCUGCAGGAUGCUACCUUCCCGGGGACAGUGGCUAUCCCUGUAAGCAGUGGCUCCUCACUCCUUACCUUCGCCCUCAAACUGUUGCACAAGCUAAUUAUAACAGUUCCAGUACCUUACGAUGCAGCCAAGGGGACUGACGCCACCACCACCACUGCCACCACCGCCACAACAAGGGUUAUUCGAGUGGGGAACAUGCUUCAGGUGUUGCCCCAAGAUGCCUCAGCCCCGCAGCCCCACUUCCCCAUGAUAGUGCAGGCAGGGAAUGUCAUACAGGUUGUUCCAGCUGACAACACGCAGGUAUUAGGGGCAGAAGUCGUUGGAGUUGGUCGGGUCAUGCAAGUGGUCGGAGUCCCAGGCUUUCCCCCGACCCCAGCCCCAGACCCCUGCCCCAGCCACCCCUCUCCCUGUGACCCCUGCCCAGUCAUCCCUCACCCCCUCCUGCCCCCUGCGGUGCUGCCAGCGGGGGUGAUGGGAGGUGGAGGUGGGCCACACACACCUGGGUUAGCUGUGGCUUGGCUUAUCUCCCUCCUCAGCAGCAAAUCCCGAGGAUCAACGAGGACAUGGUGGACCCAGAGAUUGCAGCAGCAGCGAGAGAGAGAGAGAGAAGCAAGAGAGGAGGGAGAGGAAGGAGAGGAGGAGGAGAGAGAGGGAGGCCAGGAGGGAGGCACGUCAGAGAGAGAGGGAGAGGAAGAGGUUGAUUCUGUUACAACAACAACUGCAACAACAACAACAGUUAGUCAGUGAGGAGGGGGAGGGGCCGUCCUCUGAUGCUGAGGAUGAGGUAUUGUUCAGGGAGGCCAUGUCGGAGGUGCCGGUGGUGGGGUCGCCAGUUCCGGAGUACGAGGUGGAGGAGGAAAAGGAAGAGGAGGACGAGGAGGAGGCACGGAUAAGGAAGAAGAAAAGAUUAUUACCUGUAGCCCUCCCUCCAGCUGAUAAGGGGAUAUUAAGGAGCCCUUCCUACAGGUUCGUUCGAUGCAAGGAGUUGGCACAGGAGGCGUCCGAGGCUGUGUAGAGCGGCCGUCUGAACCUGGUGCCACAGCUUACUAUGUUCAACAGAUGCCUGAAGGAAGUGUGUGUAAGGGAGGAUAAAGAGAUCAUGCUGGCCUAUGCAGACGAUGUCGCUGUCGUGACAGGAAGCCAACAAGAUCUUCAAGAGGCCAUGACAAGAUGGAAUGAUGUUUUAAAUAGGGAAGGAAUGAGAAUGAACAAACAAAAAACUUAUUUACUAGUGGACAAGCAACAAGUGAUGGUGUGGCUCUGAGCCACUGUAGUAGGGAUGUUAUGGUUUAAGUGUAGGAAGUUGCAAAUGCUCACCUAACAAUUGCACCUUAGUAGAAAAACACAAACAGGAAGUUUAUGCAAGUUUUUAUCCUUAUAUAAAAUGUUGUAUUGCAUCAAACCUCCAUACAUUACUGUCUCUAUCCAGUAUGAGACCGGUGUUCAGGAAGCACAAGCAUGUGCUGAAUAACAAGAAGCCGGCAUUGGUGAAGGUGACAACAUUUCAUCUAUUUAUACAUACUUUUUAUUAUUAAAGCUUAUCUUAUAAUUAUUUCUGAAGAGAUUGACUAAUUUUUGUAGUAUUUAUGACUUAGAACUAUGAUAAAGCUAUGAAUUGAUAUAAUUCCUGAUUUGUUUUAUCUUUUCAUUAUCCUUCCUUUGUUAAUUGAGCAUUUUAUAUUACUUAGCUUAAAAAUGCAAGAACGGUUCAGAAGUAUCCAACCUUGGGCUAAGGGCCAAAAUUAUGGUAUCAUUCAAAAUGUCCUUCAAAGAAAGCCCUCUGUAAUCCAACACACUUAGCCCAUUAAUCCUUCCAUUUCUCAUCAAUUUGUUCAACAUUCAUAUUUUUCCCUUAUAGGGUUGAACAAUUUUCAUGGGUUCAGAGCAAAAGGCUUCCUCAUUCCUCCCCAAGGUAUUCUCGGAUGGUAAGCAGGUUUGACUCUGGAGCAAACCUGACCAAGGGCUACUGCCCAAGGCUACAGAGGUUCCUCUCCCUGAGGCUGAAUGCACCAUGUGAGAUGGUUCUGUUAUGUGGAUGAAUGUCAUGGUGGAUAGCAGUGCCACCACAUUCCUACAAUCAUCCAUCACUCCACUGCUCAAACGCUUCUGCAACCAAUGAUAGGUAUGCUGCCACAUUCUGCAUGGUCUCCUUGGCUCUCAGAUAAGGAUACUGUCAACAGGUUUGGGAUUGCCAAAAAAUCAUAAGGAGCUAUGUCUGAAAAGUUCAGAGAGAGAGAGAGAGAGAAAGAAUGAGCAAGAGAAAGAGUAGGAUGAAGCAAAGGAAGAGUCAAGAGGGAGGAAGAGAGAGUAGGACAAGAAAAAACAGAACAAAUAAAUCCCCUACACGUCUUGUCUCCAUUCACACAAGCCAUGAAAAGCUUGUCCAUCCCUGAGUGCUCAGAAGCAGUGUUCCACUGAUGAUGUGGAAACUUGAGACACCCAAUCAUUUAAUGGGCUUUAGUAGGUUUUGUCACCAGUCUUCUGUGUGUCACUGACUACAUUUUGAAAUUUUUAUCUGUUCUAUUUAAUUUUGUGUGUAUGUACACAAUGUUUAUGGUCAAUAAACUAUUUAUAAAACUAUUUAUCUGUGUGAGUAAGAUAAAAGCAGUUAUUAUUAUUAUUAUUAUUAUUAUUAUUAUUAUUAUUAUUAUUAUUAUUAUUAUUAUUAUUAUUACACAUUUUCCUCCUUGUAUUUAAAUAUUAUUAUUAUUAUUAUUAUUAUUAUUAUUAUUAUCAUGAAUUGUUCUUGUUUAUAAAUAAAAUACUGUAACUGA
Scylla paramamosain (green mud crab) is the source of this 3431-nucleotide long non-coding RNA. RefSeq lists it as uncharacterized. Lineage: Eukaryota; Metazoa; Arthropoda; Malacostraca; Decapoda; Portunidae. The transcript has 7 exons. The record is from RefSeq and is a predicted model, not a curated record.